RNAcentral lists this transfer RNA (780 nucleotides) under uncultured Alphaproteobacteria bacterium. RNAcentral describes it as "partial contains 16S ribosomal RNA, 16S-23S ribosomal RNA intergenic spacer, and 23S ribosomal RNA". The stretch from base 269 to 342 matches the Rfam family "tRNA". The record is from RNAcentral. Lineage: Bacteria; Pseudomonadati; Pseudomonadota; Alphaproteobacteria.
UCUAAAAGAGAAGCGAUGGCAUACUUACUCCUUCCGCGAUAGCGGAUUCGCCUCGGCGAAAGAGUGGGGUGUCAUCAAACCGCUGACUGUUUACCUGACAGUUAUGCGGAAAUUCUGGUCAAGACCUUCUUUGGCCUGAAUCGAUCGCACGAUCGUCAUGGGUAGCGUAGCUGCCCUGCAUGUUCAACCUUUGUCCUCGAAACCCAUUAAGCACUGAAUGAGAUUUGGGCGAGCCGCCGGCGUCUUACGGCGGGGGAGCGCGCAACGCGGGCCUGUAGCUCAGUUGGUUAGAGCGCACCCCUGAUAAGGGUGAGGUCGGUAGUUCGACUCUACCCAGGCCCACCAUCUUAGCCAAGCACCUUCACGGGGCUGUAGCUCAGCUGGGAGAGCACCUGCUUUGCAAGCAGGGGGUCACCGGUUCGAUCCCGGUCAGCUCCACCAACUUCUCAUUUGGCUGCUUCCAGAUCGGAGCCUUCAGUAUCCAUGCUGAAGACUUCAAUCUGGAAGCAGGCUGGCGAUUCAGUCGGUCUUUAACUGGAUCAGUCUGGCAGGUUUCAACGGCCUCAGGGCCGGUCCUUCCCGGCGAAAGGGAAGGUUUGGAUGUUUGACAACGAAAUUGAUUGGGUAACGCGAUUGGAGAGCUGCGUGUCCGCCGUGAGGCGCACAGGUCAGCAGCAAAAGUUUCCAAGAGCGUAUACAUACAAGGCCGAGCACAAGCAUGAGUCAGCAAUGAUUCAGGCAAGUGUUCAAGUAAGAAGAGUGUCUUUAGGAGAUGUAUCG